RNAcentral lists this ribosomal RNA (306 nucleotides) under uncultured bacterium. Its description in RNAcentral is "bacterial SSU rRNA". It matches the Rfam family "Bacterial small subunit ribosomal RNA", at positions 28 to 334 of the family's 1533-position model. The record is from RNAcentral. RNAcentral also lists the same sequence under 1 other name.
GACGAACGCUGGCGGCGUGCUUAACACAUGCAAGUCGAACGGAAAGGCCCUGCUUGCAGGGUGCUCGAGUGGCGAACGGGUGAGUAACACGUGGGUGAUCUGCCCCUUACUUUGGGAUAAGCCUGGGAAACUGGGUCUAAUACUGGAUAGGACCAUGCUGUAGGUGGUGUGGUGGAAAGAUUAGUUUCGGUAAGGGAUGAGCUCGCGGCCUAUCAGCUUGUUGGUGGGGUAAUGGCCUACCAAGGCGUCGACGGGUAGCCGGCCUGAGAGGGUGGACGGCCACAUUGGGACUGAGAUACGGCCCAG